UGUGUGUCCGUCCCUGCUCUGUGUGUGUGUGUCCCUGCCGGGUCUGUGUGUAUAUGAGUGUGUGUGACUGUGUGUUUGCUCCAUCCGUACAAAUCUGUCUCCGUCCAACCCCUGGCUCUGUGUCAGCUGCACACGUCGGUGUGUUCACAGCUUGUGUCAGUCAGGCCCCCAUGUUCACGUGUCGCUCCGCGGCCCCGCCCGGCCGUGUGUGUCGGCCGGAUCGACGCAGCCAGACGCAGACUCAGCCGUCGGCCCCGAGCGUCCACAACCCGCCUCGCCCGGCCGGCGCCGCCCAUGGGCAAAACUCUGCUCCUGUGCCUGGCCGCUCCGGCCUGCGCCGGCCUGGGCGCAGCCCUGCAGUGCCUGAAAUGCGACUUCACCGCGUUCGACGCCCCGUGUGAGCUCAGCGCGGUCACCUGCCCGGUCGGGCAGCUCUGUGCCACCAUCCGGGGGCACACAGGUAACUGCCCUGCCCGCGGCUCCGGGCUCCUUCCCCUCCUGGGGACCCACCCACUCGGUCCCCAUCUCCUUCCCCCUCCUGGGGACCCACCUGCUCGGUCCCCAUCUCCUUCCCCCUUCUCCAGCUCCAUCACUCCCGCUUGGUCCCUGUCCCGUUUCCUCCUCCAGCUCCGUCUCCUUCCCCCUCUUGGGGCUCCCUCCCGCUCGGUCCCCGUCCCUUUCCCCCUCCCUGGGGACCCACCUGCUCGGUCCCCGUCCCCUUCCCCUUCCCCCUCCCUGGGGUUCCCUCCCACUUGGUCCCCAUGCCCUUCCCGCUCCCUGGGGCUCUCUCCCGCUCGGUCAUCCCUGUCCCCUUCUCCGGCUCCAUCGCUCCCUCUUGGUCCCUGUCCUGUUCCCUCGUUCUCCAGCUCCGUGUCUCUCGGUCCCCGUCCCCUUCCCUUGUUCUCUUGCUCUAUCACACUCUCUUGUUCCUUUUCUUAUUCCCUCGUUUUCUCUCUCGUUCCUCUGUUCUCUUUUUUGUUCUCUCUUUCCCUUGGUUCCUCCCUCCUUCCUUCGUUCUCUCGUUUCCUUCUCUCAUUCCCUCUCUGCCCCCCCAGCCGGCCACAAGACGAUUGUGCGGAAGAACUGCCUGGACGAGGGGAAAUGCAGCACCCAGGACACGGCGACCUGGGCCGGCGUCACCUACACCACCUCCUACACCUGCUGCCAGGGCGACUUCUGCAAUUAGGCCAGGCCCCGGAGCACCCCCGGGGCCGGCGCCUCUGACUGUCCCCCCUUUCAGGGGGCAGAUUUGUCUUGCGUACCCACAAAUCUCACCUCCCUUAAAAACGACCUGCUGACGUCAAAAUCCAGAAGUGGCCCAGCCCCGCUAUGACUGAAUGGUGGGUGACUCUCUCCUUCUGAUCCGUAAUUAUAAAUAAAUCAACUGGAAUAGAAACCCUGUGCUUACA
Molecule: long non-coding RNA, 1409 nt
Filed under: Chelonoidis abingdonii (Abingdon island giant tortoise)
Lineage: Eukaryota; Metazoa; Chordata; Testudines; Testudinidae
Description: lncRNA (ENSCABG00000004944.1)
Source: RNAcentral